UGAACUUAAAAUGCAGUCUAAGGGUUGUGCAGUGACGGAGAGUUGUAUAAAUGCAUCUUCUAACCUCGGAUUUACAAGGACAGUAACAUCUACACAAUGCUGUAACACAGACCUUUGUAAUAGCAAAGACGCCCCAGAUUACGGCUCUAACAGCCCCAAUGGAAAACGAUGUUACUACUGUGAUGAGAAGAGUUGCUUCAACAAAUUAAACUGUUUAGGAGAUGAAGACUACUGCGCUACAGCUACACAAACUGGUGAGUCUGUGACUCUUAAAGGAUGUACCUCUAAAUCUAUCUGUGAUGCUGCAACACAAGGGAAUGAAGAUUUCACGAGCUUCUCAUGUUGUCAGGGGAAUCUGUGUAACGGUGCUAAA
Long non-coding RNA from Paramisgurnus dabryanus, 373 nucleotides. RefSeq lists it as uncharacterized. The record is from RefSeq and is a predicted model, not a curated record. Lineage: Eukaryota; Metazoa; Chordata; Actinopteri; Cypriniformes; Cobitidae.